Molecule: small RNA, 48 nt
Filed under: Pelagibacterium halotolerans B2
Lineage: Bacteria; Pseudomonadati; Pseudomonadota; Alphaproteobacteria; Hyphomicrobiales; Devosiaceae
Description: ffh sRNA
Rfam family: ffh sRNA (bases 7-48)
Source: Rfam by way of RNAcentral
GUUUCCGGUCAACAUCCGCCAGCGCGUUGCGCCCGCGGGUGUAUUUUG